This is a long non-coding RNA of Danio aesculapii, 777 nucleotides long. RefSeq lists it as uncharacterized. The record is from RefSeq and is a predicted model, not a curated record. The transcript is spliced from 3 exons. Lineage: Eukaryota; Metazoa; Chordata; Actinopteri; Cypriniformes; Danionidae.
UGAGUCCGACAGCCGGUCUGUGAAUGGACGGGAAUACAUCAUCAUCAUCAUCAUCAUCAUCAUCACCGGCAGCGGAGGGUUCGCAUCCCGGCUGGAUGAGUGUGUGUGUGUGCGUGUGUGCGUUCCUGAUCCUGUGUCCGCUCGCGCUGCUCAGAGCCGCCGCGAACCUGACGCAGCUCUUGGGCAUGAUGAAGGCCGGCUGGAUCACUCACACCGCCCACCGGAAGCGCUCGUGGCUCAGCUUCCUCAGAUCUGCCGCCUCUAGAGAUCCCCCUUUCAUUUCACAUGCAGAUAUUAAGACUUUAAGAGCCCUGUUCUGCUUUAUAUCCAGCGAGAGCCGUGUGGAGAGAGAUGUGGAGUACUGACGUUAUUAUAGAUGACCCAAUAGCUGAGCAGGCUGGGUUAUGCAGAACAGUGUGUGUGUGUGUGUGUGUGUGUGUUCUGCUGUUAUUCAGGCUGUUGUGUGUGUGUGUGUUUGUUAUUGUUUUCAGCUGUUGGUCAUGUCUGAGCUCUACAGAGCUGUGCUUAAUCAGUGUGGAGGUCGUUUGUUGGGAAUUGUAUGGUGUUUAAUGGGGUGCAGUGCUCAGUGCUCAUCAUCCAUCAUGUGUUAAACAGACGCGCUCGUCAUCCUGCUCACGGUAUCAGUUCAUAUUCAAGAGGACACACACACGGGCCCUCCAAGAAACACCGGACCCUAGCCGAAUGCCUGUGUUGCCUGUAGGACGGGCCGGCACUACACACACACACACACACACACACGCACACGCACACACACGC